GGUUAAGUGACUAAGCGUACAUGGUGGAUGCCUUGGCAGUCAGAGGCGAUGAAGGACGUACUAACCUGCGAUAAGCCGUGAGCAGUCGGUAAGAGACAUUACGACUCACGGAUUUCCGAAUGGGGAAACCCACCCGAGAUAACUCGGGUAUCUGUUACUGAAUACAUAGGUAACAGAGGCGAACCGGGAGAACUGAAACAUCUAAGUACCCCGAGGAAAAGAAAUCAACCUUGAUGUGAAAUCGAGUAGGGCGGGACACGUGACAUCCUGUCUGAAUAUGGGGGGACCAUCCUCCAAGGCUAAAUACUCCUGACUGACCGAUAGUGAACCAGUACCGUGAGGGAAAGGCGAAAAGAACCCCUGUGAGGGGAGUGAAAUAGAACCUGAAACCGUGUACGUACAAGCAGUGGGAGCCCUUCGGGGUGACUGCGUACCUUUUGUAUAAUGGGUCAGCGACUUACAUUUUGUAGCGAGGUUAACCGUAUAGGGGAGCCGUAGGGAAACCGAGUCUUAACUGGGCGUCUAGUUGCAAGGUGUAGACCCGAAACCGGGUGAUCUAGCCAUGGGCAGGUUGAAGGUUGAGUAACAUCAACUGGAGGACCGAACCCACUAACGUUGCAAAGUUAGGGGAUGACCUGUGGCUGGGGGUGAAAGGCCAAUCAAACUCGGAGAUAGCUGGUUCUCCCCGAAAGCUAUUUAGGUAGCGCCUCGGACGAAUACUACUGGGGGUAGAGCACUGUUUGGGCUAGGGGGUCAUCCCGACUUACCAACCCCAUGCAAACUCCGAAUACCAGCAAGUACUAUCCGGGAGACCCACGGCGGGUGCUAACGUCCGUCGUGAAGAGGGAAACAACCCAGACCGCCGGCUAAGGUCCCAAAGUUCUGGUUAAGUGGGAAACGAUGUGGGAAGGCUCAGACAGCUAGGAUGUUGGCUUAGAAGCAGCCAUCAUUUAAAGAAAGCGUAAUAGCUCACUAGUCGAGUCGGCCUGCGCGGAAGAUGUGACGGGGCUCAAACCGGGCACCGAAGCCGCGGAUUCACGCUAAGCGUGAGUGGUAGGGGAGCGUUCUGUAAGUCUGCGAAGGUGUAUCGAGAGGUAUGCUGGAGAUAUCAGAAGUGCGAAUGCUGACGUAAGUAACGAUAAAGGGGGUGAAAAGCCUCCUCGCCGGAAGACCAAGGGUUCCUGUCCAACGUUAAUCGGGGCAGGGUGAGUCGACCCCUAAGGUGAGGCCGAAAGGCGUAAUCGAUGGGAAGCAGGUUAAUAUUCCUGCACGACUUGUAAUUGCGAUGGGGGGACGGAGAAGGCUAGGUGGGCCAGGCGACGGUUGUCCUGGUGAAAGUGCGUAGGUGGUGUUUCUAGGCAAAUCCGGAGACACAACACUGAGACACGAGACGAACGCACCACGGUGCGGAAGCCAUUGAUGCCCUGCUUCCAGGAAAAGCCUCUAAGCUUCAGAUUACAAGUCAUCGUACCCC
Molecule: ribosomal RNA, 1474 nt
Filed under: uncultured Gammaproteobacteria bacterium
Lineage: Bacteria; Pseudomonadati; Pseudomonadota; Gammaproteobacteria
Description: bacterial LSU rRNA
Rfam family: Bacterial large subunit ribosomal RNA
Source: RNAcentral